This 497-nucleotide ribosomal RNA is filed under the name uncultured bacterium. Its description in RNAcentral is "partial 16S ribosomal RNA". It matches the Rfam family "Bacterial small subunit ribosomal RNA", at positions 28 to 507 of the family's 1533-position model. The record is from RNAcentral.
GAUGAACGCUGGCGGCGUGCCUAAUACAUGCAAGUCGAGCGAACAGACGAGGAGCUUGCUCCUCUGACGUUAGCGGCGGACGGGUGAGUAACACGUGGAUAACCUACCUAUAAGACUGGGAUAGCUUCGGGAAACCGGAGCUAAUACCGGAUAAUAUAUUGAACCGCAUGGUUCAAUAGUGAAAGACGGUUUUGCUGUCACUUAUAGAUGGAUCCGCGCCGCAUUAGCUAGUUGGUAAGGUAACGGCUUACCAAGGCAACGAUGCGUAGCCGACCUGAGAGGGUGAUCGGCCACACUGGAACUGAGACACGGUCCAGACUCCUACGGGAGGCAGCAGUAGGGAAUCUUCCGCAAUGGGCGAAAGCCUGACGGAGCAACGCCGCGUGAGUGAUGAAGGUCUUCGGAUCGUAAAACUCUGUUAUUAGGGAAGAACAAAUGUGCAAGUAACUAUGCACGUCUUGACGGUACCUAAUCAGAAAGCCACGGCUAACUACGUG